ACGCUCGACACCUACGAGAGGCAGCAGUGGGGAAUAUUGCACAAUGGGGGAAACCCUGAUGCAGCGACGCCGCGUGAGUGAAGAAGUAAUUCGUUAUGUAAAGCUCUAUCAGCAGGGAAGAAAGUGACGGUACCUGAGUAAGAAGCCCCGGCUAACUACGUGCUAGCAGCCGCGGUAAUCUGAGCGGGCUGGCAAGGC
RNAcentral lists this ribosomal RNA (198 nucleotides) under uncultured bacterium. Its description in RNAcentral is "partial 16S ribosomal RNA". It matches the Rfam family "Bacterial small subunit ribosomal RNA", at positions 328 to 539 of the family's 1533-position model. The record is from RNAcentral.